RNAcentral lists this unclassified non-coding RNA (331 nucleotides) under fungal sp. RNAcentral's name for it is "partial internal transcribed spacer region". The stretch from base 1 to 46 matches the Rfam family "Eukaryotic small subunit ribosomal RNA", at positions 1786 to 1831 of the family's 1831-position model. Lineage: Eukaryota; Fungi. The record is from RNAcentral.
AAGUCGUAACAAGGUUUCCGUAGGUGAACCUGCGGAAGGAUCAUUAACACGUAUCCAACGUUAAACCCCCUGUGAACUUUAAAUCCUGCUCCGGAAACUUUUCAAACAGCAAUCCCAGUAAAUCAUUGUUGAACAGUUUUGAUUUGGGACCUCUGGUUGAAGAGCGUACGUUGAGACGGUUGAGAUAGGGGCAUGGCUUCCCGAAUCAUUCAUCAAAUGAAAGCGUUGACGAAUGUGAAAGGAUAACUUCUCGGUACUAACUUUAUUUCACCUGCCGCGAAAGCCGCAGGAACAAAACGAACAACUGUUAACAAUGGAUAUCUUGGUUCUC